This is a long non-coding RNA of Pistacia vera, 810 nucleotides long. RefSeq lists it as uncharacterized. The transcript has 3 exons. Lineage: Eukaryota; Viridiplantae; Streptophyta; Magnoliopsida; Sapindales; Anacardiaceae. The record is from RefSeq and is a predicted model, not a curated record.
AACCCUAGCCACCUCACUCUAAAAAACACCACCCCUUUUGUGAGAAGAAGUAUUUUUCUCUUAAAGAAAAAUUAUGUAGAAAAUAGUUCCUAUAGUUGAGUGCUCUUCCUAGCCUAGAAGUUUCUCAAUGACGGUACUCCUGUCUGCGUGUGGAUACCGGGAGUGCAAUCUACUUUGAAGUGUUUUGUGAAUCCAUCAUCAAAUUGAAGGAGCCUUUAACGCUGUUUGAGCAAUUUCGUUCACUCUCAGAGUUCUCACCUCUCUCUUAGCUCUCUCUACAAGUAAAUUAGAACUACAAGCAAAGGUAUUUUCAAAAUGGUUGGUGGCAGAUUGUAGAGAGAGGGGGAAGAAGAAAGAAGAAUAAGAAGAAGAAGAUUGGGUUGUGAGAGGGUUUUUUGGAGAUUGUGGAGAGGGAUGGUGGCAACGGCGAGGAAGAAGAAGAAGAAGAUUGGGUUGUGAGAGGGAAAGCAAAGUGUUUGUGGAGAUUGUGAAGAGAGGGGUUAUUGGGCUUAGAGUUGGGCUCAACAUAACUAAUACAUAACCUCAAUCUACUAUAAAGUCAACUGUAGCCCUUCAAUUGUCGAUGCAUUGACGAUAUUGUUGGCUUUUCAUCAUAAAAUUGUGUUGUUGCCGAGGAAAUUAUAUAGCUUGGUUGAAAAUGCAGCAGCUUUUGGCAAUUUUUGUUUGUUGGAAGCAGGACUUGGUGAUAGAGAUAUGCUCAUGCAAGCUGUCUUUGAUGGUAGUUUUGGUUUUGGCAAUUUUUAUUUUUAAUGGGCCAAUUAAAACUUAUUACAAUGUUGUAAUCAGAAG